Molecule: ribosomal RNA, 553 nt
Filed under: Marinobacter sp.
Lineage: Bacteria; Pseudomonadati; Pseudomonadota; Gammaproteobacteria; Pseudomonadales; Marinobacteraceae
Description: bacterial SSU rRNA
Rfam family: Bacterial small subunit ribosomal RNA
Source: RNAcentral
CGAGCGGAACGAUGGUAGCUUGCUACCAGGCGUACGAGCGGCGGACGGGUGAGUAAUGCUUAGGAAUCUGCCCAGUAGUGGGGGAUAGCCCGGGGAAACCCGGAUUAAUACCGCAUACGCCCUUUUGGGGAAAGCAGGGGAUCUUCGGACCUUGCGCUAUUGGAUGAGCCUAAGUCGGAUUAGCUAGUUGGUGGGGUAAAGGCUCACCAAGGCGACGAUCCGUAGCUGGUCUGAGAGGAUGAUCAGCCACAUCGGGACUGAGACACGGCCCGAACUCCUACGGGAGGCAGCAGUGGGGAAUAUUGGACAAUGGGGGCAACCCUGAUCCAGCCAUGCCGCGUGUGUGAAGAAGGCUUUCGGGUUGUAAAGCACUUUCAGUGAGGAGGAAGGCCUUAAGAUUAAUACUCUUAAGGAUUGACGUCACUCACAGAAGAAGCACCGGCUAACUCCGUGCCAGCAGCCGCGGUAAUACGGAGGGUGCAAGCGUUAAUCGGAAUUACUGGGCGUAAAGCGCGCGUAGGUGGUUGAGUAAGCGAGAUGUGAAAGCCCCGGG